AGCGUGGAAACCAAUCGGUCGUGUUGAUAAGAACGUAUGUAAUAUUUUGUGCAUUUUACUUCUUUGGCGCUUAACGUUAUGUUUACUUUUUCUAUGACAAUUGUUGCAAUUUUAGUAUAUAGUCACAAUAUACACAGUUUAAACCUAGUAGAAGUAGAUUUAAAUAAUAUUUUUAAAAAUGUGGACAAACAAAAGCAAAGGAUUCAGUCAGUCGAUUAUAAAAAAUCGAAUGUUGAUGAAUUACUUAAAUUAAUCAAAAGAGUUAUUAAAGGAUUAAGUGUGGACGAAAAAAUAUCUAACGAUUAUAAAGAAAAUAUAUUAAAUUUAGAUCAAAUUCAGCGUUCGAGUGAGGAUUUUACUAAAUUGACCAUAAAUGAAAAUCCUAAUGUAAAACCUCAUUUGUUUAAAUUACACCCCAAGCAAAUAGCGCAAAAUGAUCAGACGAAUGAAGGACAGGGGAUUUAUAAAGAUAUUCGCAACGAUCGUAACGACUAUUCCAAAGUUUACUUGGUCCUCGACCCAGGCAGCAAUUUAUCAAGUUCCGAUGUCAAAGAAAUAAGCAACUUGGUGUCUUCUUUGCUUACAAAAUCUGUACUCAAUAAAAAGACAACAUUUAAAGAUCGCCAUAAAGGGAUAAGGCGAUACAAAGGAUUCGUCAUAAGCGAUAACAGACGGCGAUUCAAAGACAAACAAGAAAAAUUCGCAAUUGAGUCUUCUAUAGAGGAUGAUUAUAAGCCAAAAAGAAGUAGAGGCGGUGGCGGUGGCGGUCGGACUGCUAUUCCAUAUAUAAGACACAGAGGUGACAUAUACGAGAGAGAUUAAAA
Long non-coding RNA from Vanessa tameamea, 824 nucleotides. RefSeq lists it as uncharacterized. NCBI's taxonomy places the organism in Eukaryota, Metazoa, Arthropoda, Insecta, Lepidoptera, Nymphalidae. The transcript has 4 exons. The record is from RefSeq and is a predicted model, not a curated record.